CGUCCUACCUGAAGCACCCUCAAAUUUUAUUCGAGGUGAACUCUCUCAAAUUCCGUAUCGGUGAAUACAUGUGAUUAGUGGAAAAAAGGCAAAAUGUUAGAUUGAAAUCUUGUCAAAAAUGACAAUUCCACAAUUUCGAUUUCAAAAACAAAACAUUCAAUUUGGGAUUCUACAAAUCAAAAACCUUAACGAUUAAGAGCUACAAGUGCAUUUAAUUGAAAAAAAAAUAGACCAGGAACCAGAAGAAAACAAUGAGACUUACUCUACUCGGAGCACAAGUAGGUACAUUUUAAAAAAGAAUCUCGUAAACAAAAGAAUAUUUAUGUUGUUUGUUUCAAUUAUUGAUUGAUCCAAAAAUAUACUUAACUGCCAACUCAAGAAGAUGUACAUAACAAUAAAAACUUUUAGCAUCUCCUUAAAGUUUUCAUUUCGGGUGUUGCCGAUUACAAACCAUGAUACAGAAAGCAAUUUCUCUAAAGAAAUUUAGGAGGUUUGCUCAAAAUAAGGGCUGGUUUCAUAGAGUGCAACAGCACAUGAGGUUCAGUUGUCUUCUAGAUCUAAAUCGAUGCUUGUAACGCCAAAUAUCUCACUAAAGAAGGCAAGGACACUGCUGACCGAGUCAUCGGCAACUGCGGCCACUUAAGCCGACGCAAACCACGUAGAUUAUGAAAUGAAUGUUGACAUUGAAGCAACUUGCUGGGAGAACACCUCCUUAAUGACGGGACUCAAAAAUCAUUGGUAAGUCUUUUGAAUAAUGAAAAUCUAAUUAUUUUCGUAUGCACGUUUUAGAAUUUUCUUAUAUAGACAGAAAAAAUAUAAGCCGAAUUCCUAAAUACACAAUGCUUAUUGAAUCACCAAAAGAAUUAACUGGAAUCACAUAGAAGACCAUUGACACAUGAACCAUUCAAAUGAUGUUUUAAAAAUUUCCCGUCACCUUCACCCGCCGAAAAUUUCUAAAAAUAAUACAAGCGGAAAUUGUGCAUUCAUGACAUUGUCCGAUUGGGAUUUUGGAAUUUGCCUCGCAAAAGAAUGUCACAAACAACUUGCCACAAUUUUUUAAUCAACGAAUCAAAUUACCAGCGAGAGUUUUAUAAUUAUAAACCAAUCAGCUUGCUACAAUUUAAUUGUGCGUCCAUUGACCAGAAGGUUUAUGAUGGCAAGACUGC
This is a long non-coding RNA of Eupeodes corollae, 1166 nucleotides long. RefSeq lists it as uncharacterized. The transcript is spliced from 3 exons. The record is from RefSeq and is a predicted model, not a curated record. NCBI's taxonomy places the organism in Eukaryota, Metazoa, Arthropoda, Insecta, Diptera, Syrphidae.